Molecule: ribosomal RNA, 484 nt
Filed under: uncultured bacterium
Lineage: Bacteria
Description: bacterial SSU rRNA
Rfam family: Bacterial small subunit ribosomal RNA
Source: RNAcentral
GCCUAACACAUGCAAGUCGAACGGUAACAUGAGAGCUUGCUCUUGAUGACGAGUGGCGCACGGGUGCGUAACGCGUAUACAAUCUACCUUUUACAGGAGGAUAGCCUUUAGAAAUGAAGAUUAAUACUCCAUAGUAUUAUUGAUUGGCAUCAAUUAAUAAUUAAAGUUUCGGCGGUAAAAGAUGAGUAUGCGUUCUAUUAGCUAGAUGGUGUGGUAACGGCACACCAUGGCAACGAUAGAUAGGGGCCCUGAGAGGGGGAUCCCCCACACUGGUACUGAGACACGGACCAGACUCCUACGGGAGGCAGCAGUGAGGAAUAUUGGACAAUGGGCGCAAGCCUGAUCCAGCCAUGCCGCGUGCAGGAAGACUGCCCUAUGGGUUGUAAACUGCUUUUAUACAGGAAGAAACCACUCUACGUGUAGAGUUCUGACGGUACUGUAAGAAUAAGGAUCGGCUAACUCCGUGCCAGCAGCCGCGGUAAUA